RNAcentral lists this RNase P RNA (463 nucleotides) under Ferruginibacter sp. RNAcentral's name for it is "RNase P RNA component class A". It matches the Rfam family "Bacterial RNase P class A". From Rfam's summary of the family: Ribonuclease P (RNase P) is a ubiquitous endoribonuclease, found in archaea, bacteria and eukarya as well as chloroplasts and mitochondria. The record is from RNAcentral. Lineage: Bacteria; Pseudomonadati; Bacteroidota; Chitinophagia; Chitinophagales; Chitinophagaceae.
GCUAUCAGCCGGGUUAUCGCUACCCGAUCUAUCGGGUGGAGGAAAGUCCGGACAGCAAAGGGCAACACACCGGUUAAUGGCCGGUCUGGAUAUGGUUAGUGGCAACACUAACUAUGAAAGGAAGAAAGUGCCACAGAAAAUUACCACCCCUCUCUUGACAUGCUUCGACAAGACUUCGACAAGCUCAGUCUGACAGAGCAUGACAAGAGAGGGGCCAGGGUGAAAACGUGAGGUAAGAGCUCACGGGUUUUUGCAGUAAUGCAUAAAUUGGGUAAACCUUGUGUGCUGUAAUGCCACGUAUAUCAAUGGUUGAGGGCGGCCCGCCUGAUAUUGCGCAAGCAGUAACGUUGAAGGGUAGGCAGCAAGAUUGUAACAGUAAUGUUGCAGCCAGAUAAAUGAUAACCGUUUCCCCCCAACUUGUUGGGGGGAAAUACAGGAUCCGGCUUACAGGCUGAUAGAUUUU